Hemicordylus capensis (graceful crag lizard) is the source of this 1817-nucleotide long non-coding RNA. RefSeq lists it as uncharacterized. The transcript is spliced from 2 exons. Lineage: Eukaryota; Metazoa; Chordata; Lepidosauria; Squamata; Cordylidae. The record is from RefSeq and is a predicted model, not a curated record.
AUAAUCUAGAGUGGGUCUGGGGAGACACUCUAGGAUACUAAUCCCUUUUGCUUCAUUCCCCUUUUCCUUUUCAAAUCCAGGAAGCGCAGGAGGAAGAGUAAUUCCUCUGUUUUUAUUCUUUUAAAACAAAAGCAAGUGUUUUAAUUGUCUAUUUUAUUCUUAUAUUGCAACUUGGAUUAUGUACAGUGCCGAAAGAGAGAAAGAAAGGAAGAAAGGAAAUAAAGUGUGCGGUUCUAGUUAUGUAAAUACACCUUUGACUCUAAAGUCUGACAUCAGAGAAUUUGGAUGCAGUUACACAUUCUCCAUACAGGUACCCGUGAUGACAACAUUCCCUCUGACACUUAUUCAAACCAGUCUGCAAAUGGAUUGCCUUGACCAAAAAGCCACACCUCACUACAUUUAUUUCCUUCUCUUUUUGGACAAGCAUUACAAUCUUACUGGGCUGAUCUGUCUCUACUGCUAUAUUUAGAGUGGCUUGCUGGAAACAACAAUCAUGUCUGUUUUUGAAAGAGGCAACUCAUGCUAAUGAGAGAAAGCUAAAUCUGGCUUUUAGCAACAAAAAUAAAAACAAAUGUACAAAGCACAUAAGCUACACUAUUGUGGGACAGUCUGCUUCACACAAUUAUGUUUGUCCAGCCAACUGUGUUAUCAGGAAUUGCUGGGACUUCUUGUGCAUGUACAGAAAAAGAACCAUCUGAAUGUCCUAGUCUGGGCAAUGGAGCAGAACCUUCCCCUCAGCUAAUAGGAGGGCAGGCUUGAAGAGAGGGACAAAGGAACUUUUUGAUAUGUUUCAAGACAGAGGGAUUGAGAGACGAUUGGAAGGAGAGCUGAGAAGAGAAAGCUGAAUGGAGAAGAAACCAGAACGAUAAGACAGAGCCAGCUCUGGAAGACGUCAGCUGACCAGUUUAUAACUCUGGACCUAUAGCUGAGACCUGGUGCCAGAAGCAAAGGACUAAACUGAGGGAAAGGGAGAGGCUGCCCUUUAGUUGCCGGUCUGGGGAGCUGUUGUACCAUAGCCAGAGGAGAGGAUUUGCAAAGAACAUGAACAAUUGCCCCUUCUACGCUAUUGUGUAAUGCCAAUCCCCAUGACAAUAGUAUCUGUGCCGCAACUAUAGCCAUUCCAAGCAUACAUACAGACAUACGCAAGCUACUUUUUUCAUGCUUAUGCUUUAUUUAUGUGUUUUUUGUUCACACUCAUGUUUUAGCAUAAAAAUGAGUUUCAAUUUUUUCGAUUAAAAGGGCAAACGCCAGCCAUUAUUCCAUUGUCAACAAAUUCUGGCUGCGCGUGAUGAGACUUGUAGUUCAACAACAGUUGUAGAGUCAGGGUUGCCUAUCUGACCUAGAACAUGCACUUUCUAGCAAAUGACCAGGAUAUCUAAAAGUCCGUCUCCAGUCCACUCAUAAAGUCCUGUCCAUCCCAUACAACUGGCUGGGGCGGCUUUUAUGUGGGUUCCUAUGGUAGCUGAAAUAAGCUGGUAGGAACAAGGGAUAGGGCCUUAUCAGCAGUGCAAUGCUCUUCCCAGAUGCUGAAUUAUUGUUUUUAACCUUUGUAAGCUGCUUUGGGUUUUCUUAUAGCUUGUGGACUGAAUUUGGUUUACAGAACUUUUAAAAAAAUUAUUAUUGUGGACUUAAUUUGGUUUACAAAACAUUUUUAUCCUAUUGCCAAAUUUUAAUUGUGUGAUAAACAUUUUACGUGUAGUUUCACUUGCAGGAAGAAUGUUGUGAGAGAGAAAAUUUACACUGUGAUGUUACCCCUCUCUUUGGGUUCUGAUAUGUAAUGUGUUCAAUAACUACGAUACUGACUUUGCUGUAAAGGA